Molecule: transfer RNA, 74 nt
Filed under: Acinetobacter baumannii
Lineage: Bacteria; Pseudomonadati; Pseudomonadota; Gammaproteobacteria; Moraxellales; Moraxellaceae
Also listed under: 4 other names
Description: tRNA-Ala
Rfam family: tRNA
About the family: Transfer RNA (tRNA) molecules are approximately 80 nucleotides in length.
Source: RNAcentral
GGCUAUAGCUCAGCUGGGAGAGCGCCUGCUUUGCACGCAGGAGGUCUGCGGUUCGAUCCCGCAUAGCUCCACCA